RNAcentral lists this ribosomal RNA (440 nucleotides) under uncultured bacterium. RNAcentral's name for it is "bacterial SSU rRNA". It matches the Rfam family "Bacterial small subunit ribosomal RNA", at positions 338 to 795 of the family's 1533-position model. The record is from RNAcentral.
CCUACGGGGGGCUGCAGUGGGGAAUAUUGCACAAUGGGCGAAAGCCUGAUGCAGCGACGCCGCGUGAGCGAAGAAGGCCUUCGGGUCGUAAAGCUCUGUCCUAUGGGAAGAAAGAUGACGGUACCAUAGGAGGAAGCCCCAGCUAACUACGUGCCAGCAGCCGCGGUAAUACGUAGGGGGCGAGCGUUGUCCGGAAUGACUGGGCGUAAAGGGUACGUAGGCGGUUAGCUAAGUCAGUUGUGAAAGGCAUAGGUUUAACCAUUGUAAGUAUUGGAAAAUGUCUAGCUUGAGUCAAGGAGAGGUAAGUGGAAUUCCUGGUGUAGGGGUGAAAUGCGUAGAUAUCAGGAGGAAUAAAAGUGGCAAAGGCGACUUUCUGGACUUAGACGGACGCUGAGGUAAGAAAGCGUGGGGAGCAAACAGGAUUAGAUACCCUAGUAGUC